GUCUGCGGCCCGGACCGCAGGGGCCCGCGGAGCGACCGGAGCAGGUGCCUGUGGAGACACACGGUCUGGGGCACAGAGUGGCUUCUGUUGUGUUUGCUAUUGUGCUGCUCAGCUUAGUCACAGGUCGGAAACGAGGAGUAGACGGACGAGAGGAAAAGUGAGGAGGGAGCAGGAGGUACCUACUUUCCUGUUUGUAACGAACGAGGAAGAGGAGAAAAAUGGUGAGCCGCUCAGAGAUCACUGAGCUGUGGUACUGGUGCCAUCUGACUUGCCAGUCCUGGAUACAUGAAUGACCUUGCUUAUCCAGUCAUCAGAUCCUGAGCCCACUGGGUGCCCAGCACAGUCGGAGGUGCUUGGAUGUAACGCUGGUGUCAGUUCUUGAUGGCCCAUCAACAGAGUCCUUGAGACGCUUUGCCAGGAAGAAAGCAAACCGAGGUUCUGUCAGAUCCCUGGCCUUACGAUGUUGACCAAGACGGUAGAAAGAAUCCCACUCCACCUGCACCUCCAAACACCUCAGAUCUCACUCUGCAAUCAUGAGGGCGAGAAAGGAAGAUCAGCAGCUGCCAAGCCCCAGUAGGUCCAGAAGGAAAAUGAACGACAUCAGCAUGACCUGAAGUAUCCAUCUCUAGGGUGAAGGCCAGCAGAAAGGAAUCCAUCAUUAGGAGAGUCAGCGGCGUUGGCUCUUGGGCCAUGAUUUGAUCUAUCUAUCCAAUAGACUCUAAUCUGAGGCUAUAAUGGUAGUCAAGGCUUGUACUUUGUUCUUGACAAAUAUAUUCAGAGGCAAAAAGUCUUCCCAAUCUAGAUUUCCCAUGAACAGAAUUCGGUUAGACUCGCUGCUACUCUGGUGUUCAAAUCUCCCCAGCAUCACUACCUUGGUUUCUGAAUCCCUGAAAGGCUAAUGACUGCAUUCCAGAUAUAAUAACAUAUUGAUUAAGUGCUCGUUAUGGGCUAUGCAUAGCGACAAUGUUUACAAAUGUUACCUUAUUUAAUGAGGCAGCUGCAGUAGACCCUUUUUACACAUGAGAACACCAAAGUAUAGAGGACUUGAGUAGACACCCAGGGUCACAAAGCCAGACUCAACCUAGGCCUGGUGGACUCCAAACCCCAUACUCUUAACCACUCUGCUGUAUGCAAAUUAAAGAGUAAGAAAUAUGUAGAACAGUAAAAAUGUGGUACUUAGGAACUGAACAAAAUGGGGACAAUUAUACCAUCGCAAUAGAAACUCAAGUGUAGAGGGGCAGAUCUCUGAUCAAGGGGGCCGAACCCCUAGACCACUGAAGUUAGGAUGCCAAGCAGCACAAAGAGAAGGCGCCAAACAUCUCAGGUACGAGUGGAGAGAUUUUCCACUCCCAGCAGCUCUGAUGGCUGGUGAAACUAGAGCCAGACAAGAUUAAAGAUGUAUACAUACAUUUUCCCAUCUGUUAUAGUCCUGGAGACAUCGAUUGAGUCAUUAGGGUAAGGACACAGUCAAGGUUAAAUUGCAGUCAUUUGCCUUUUGUCGAUUGAUGUUCGAAAUAUCAAUAACCAAGAUUUUGUCAGAUACAGGUUACAUGAGCUGAGAGAUUGCAUCCGCGUCAUCCCAGCGGGUAAAGAUAUUGUAGCAGAAGAGAGUUUCAGUCAAUGUGGACAAAACUAGGCCCCAAGGAGGUUACUGUUCCCUCAGUAAGUUCAAACUCUGGAGUCAGCACAGACUGGGUUGGAUCACUGACUCUACUUCUUCUAGGUGAUGACUUUGGGAAGGUCAUUUGUUUUUCUUCAAUCUUUUUUUUUUUUGAAAAGAUUUUAUUUAUUUGACCGAAAGAGACACAGCUAGAGAGGGAACACAAGCAGGGGGAGUGGGAGAGGGAGAAG
Molecule: long non-coding RNA, 1851 nt
Organism: Zalophus californianus (California sea lion)
Lineage: Eukaryota; Metazoa; Chordata; Mammalia; Carnivora; Otariidae
Exons: 3
Source: RefSeq, a predicted model, not a curated record